Molecule: ribosomal RNA, 449 nt
Filed under: uncultured bacterium
Lineage: Bacteria
Description: partial 16S ribosomal RNA
Rfam family: Bacterial small subunit ribosomal RNA
Source: RNAcentral
GUCGAGAAUCUUUCACAAUGGGGGCAACCCUGAUGGAGCGACGCCGCGUGGAGGAUAAGGUCUUCGGAUUGUAAACUCCUGUCAUGCGUGAACAAGGUUGCUUGGUUAAUACCUGGGCAAAUUGAUGGUAACGCAAGAGGAAGAGACGGUUAACUCUGUGCCAGCAGCCGCGGUAAUACAGAGGUCUCAAGCGUUGUUCGGAAUCACUGGGCGUAAAGGGUGCGUAGGUGGCGUGGUAAGUCAGAUGUGAAAGCCCGGGGCUCAACCUCGGAACUGCAUCCGAUACUGCCAUGCUAGAGUACUGGAGAGGUGACUAGAAUUCUCGGUGUAGCAGUGAAAUGCGUAGAUAUCGAGAGGAAUACCAAAGGCGUAGGCAGGUCACUGGACAGUUACUGACACUGAGGCACGAAGGCCAGGGGAGCGAACGGGAUUAGAAACCCCAGUAGUCC